UUUUUUUUUUUUUCAUUUUUUGCGAAUGCAAUAUUUGUAUUUGUUUGUUGGAAGAAAUUUUUAUUUCCCCUUCUAUUUUAAAUGAUAUUCUUGCUGGAUAGAGUAUUCUAGGUUGCAUAUUUUUUUCCUUUUAGCACUUUAAAUAUCUCUUGCCAUUCCCUCCUGGCCUGUAGUGUUUCUGUAGAGAAAUCAGCUGAUAAUCUUAUGGGGGUUCCCUUGUAGGUAACAUUCUGCUUUUCUCUUGCUGCCCUUAGGAUCCUCUCUUUAUCACUAACUUUUGCCAUUUUUAUUAUGAUGUGUCUUGGUGUGGGUCUAUUUGGAUUUAAUUUGUAUGGGGCCCUCUCUGCUUCCUGUAUCUUGAACCCAGUAUCCUCUAGAUUUGGGAAGUUUCCAGCGAUAAUUUCUUCAAAUAUAUUUUCCAUUCCCUUAUCUUUUUCUACUCCUGGAAUUCCUAUUAUGAGUAGAUUGGCCCACUUUAUAUUAUCCCAUAGGUCUCUUAUAUUGAUUGGAAAUGUUUUUAAAAAUGAGGCAAGUGGUGUCAAAACUGAUCUCAGUUUCUAAAUUAAUCCCAUUUACUAUGCCUCUGUGAUGGGGCAACAGGGAGUGAGAUGGUAGUUAUUGAAAAAUUUUAAAAUGUCAGAUGUCAGAAAGCUAUCAGGUGUCCUCUCUUGUCACAUUAUACUGUAGAAAGAAAUCAGCACCUUCCUAGAAAAUUCUGCCUGGAAAGAGCCAAAGAAUACUAUUUAUAAACACAGGUGCAUAUACAGACACACACAGCAAGUAUACAAACCUGACACUUACACACCUGGAUACAGAGACAUCUGCAUUUGAAGAUACACACCGCAUAUCUGUACACUCCAAUUAGAAAUUAGGAAAGAAAAGCAGAGGAAGAGGGGUUUAUGAGUGGUCUUGAGGUUGUAUAUUGAAGCUGCUUCAUUCUUUCAAACUACAAAUUGUACAGAUAUCUCCUGGGUAGUGGUUUUAUUGAGGCAACAGCCUGGAGAACAUAAUCUCUCAUUCUAGGAAACUUGUGCAUUUGCUGCAGAAGCAUGGCAAGAUUGAGAGCCAUAAAGUCUUGCUUGGUUAUAACUUGAAAUGCCUGUAAGACAAGCAAAUUUAGGGAAAGAAUUUCUUAUCUCCAGAAAUCCUACCUCUGGUUAAUCACUCAUCUCACAUGAAGACACCUUCUCUAUCAUUUCUGCCAAAGGAACAUACAUUUGAUCCUAAGAAGUCUGAAUUCAUAGUUUCCUGUAUUGCUUUCUGAUAGGCUUUUCAAGAGGAGGUUCCCUGACCCUUGAAGGCAGGUCAUAAUGAAAUUCCCAUCCAGUCAUUUCAAGAAGAACCAUUCUUUGUAACAGGAAGUUACUAGUCCACCAGAGGCCAAGCAUGCUUCCUGGUCAGUCUCCCUAUCACCACAAUACACCUCUCUGUCUCCAAACAAAUUUAUCUAUCAACAACAUUCAGUUUCUCUACUUGGCCAUUUGUAAACAGUUAAAUGCUGCCUUUCUCAAGAGGUGGCUCAAUUAUUUAAUUUGAAAUUAAUCAAAUUACCUUAAAUUAAUGCACUUUACUCUUUCUACUUGAUGAAAUUUAAAGAGAAAAACUUCAUGUGAGGCUUUUUUUUUUUUAAAAUGUGGUUUUUUAUUAGAUUGUGAAUAAACAAUAAUUGUUUCUUUUUAAAGUUGUAUGAACAGAUUGCUCUCCCGGUGGGAAUGAACUCCAAAUAUCAGGGAGAAGGAUGACCUAGAAUCUUGAAAAGCUGAAACAUUCCCAGGGGGAGGUGGCUUCUCGAGUGUUUUUCUUUUAGACUUUGUAUUGCUGCUCAUCCAUGAGAAGUACACGGUAUUGGAAUAGGUCAGCAUGUGGAGAAAUACUAAAGAGGUGUUAUCUCUCCUCUGAAUCAUGUCAUAUAGUGCUUUAUAUUCCCCUGGAAAUUGAAGAAAAGCAAGAUCUCAUUAGAGCAAAUGAGGCCCAAAUUUACAAGCAUGUUUUGACUCUCUGGCUAUGGAUUCAGCCUGGAGCUCAGAAUUAGGUUGAGAGGAUGGCAGAGGUUGAGUAUGGUGAAGAUAACUCAGCAGGCACCCUUUCUUUUCUACAUCUUUUGUAAUCCACCCAUGUCUAAGAUGUCUCCUUCUUCAUUAUACCUAAUAACUGGUAAGUGUUGGCUGAGAUAAAAUCAAGCAUGAGUUUCAUGUUUUUCAAGGAAGUGACAGCCAGGAAGGGACAAGAAGAAAUGCUGAUGUCCACAUUUAAUUUGAAGAAAAAUGUGAGUUAUAGCUGAGUACAUAUCUGACUCAACUUCUGACAUUUAUCAAAGGGCUCACUGUAUUAGGCACUGUAUGUGGAUUGUCUCAUUUAAUUCUUGCAAAAAUCCAGUGAUUAUAUGCUUGGUUCCAUUUUUCAGAUAAGGAAGCUAGAGUUAAGUAAUAAGCUCAAGGUCAAAUAGUUUCUGCAUCUAAUCUCUUCAAAAUUUACAUGUUUUGCGCAUAAAUUGCCAAAGCACAAAUACUGCUUUGAUCAGUAUUUAGCUCCUUACUGACUUUUUUCCAAUGACCUCCACUGCCUGCAUAAUGAAGUAAUGGAUUUGAGACCUUAGCCACAGUCCCACUUUGCUGCCUUAUUGACCUCCACUGUGUCACAGGAACCAGCUGCUUUUGCCUUCACUUGCUGUCUCUCCAUAUAACAUCGUCUUGCCAUUAUCUGACCCCUUGCUUCCACUCAUGAACUCCUUGAUCUCUGGGUAAUUGGGAUCCAGUCUUUUUCCUGCCACAGGGAAGAAAGGUCAGUCAGCAUGGUUGGUCUCUGCCAUGGCACCUGCUAGUUGGCUUUUAUACCAGGCUGUCCUUCUCUCCUGACAUCUGUACCUACACCAGUUGUUUACCAUCCAUUUCCCCAAGGUGGUCACCUAUGUUAAUUUGCUGGGGAUCCUUAAACAAAGCACUGCAAACUGAGUGUUUUAAACAACAGAAAUACGUGGUUUUAUAGUGCUGGAGGGUAGAAGGUUGAGAUCAUGGUGUUGGUAGACUUGAUUCCUGUGGCUGUGAUGGUGAAUCUCUGCCUCGACCCUAGCUGCUGAUGGUUUUCUGGGAAUCUUUGUCAUUCCUUGGCUUUUAGAAGCAUCACCUCAAUCACUGCCUUCAUCUUCAUGUGAUGUUCUCCUUGGUUACAUGUCUGUUUCAAAUCCACUCUUUUUAUAAGGACACUUACGUUAAAUUAGGACCUCUUCUCUCUAAUGAGCUCAUCUUAACUAAUUAUAUCUGCUUUGACCCUAUUCAUAAAUAGGGUCACAUCUGAUGCACUGGGGGUUAGGACCUCAGCAUGGAAAUUUUGAGGGAACACAUGUCCACUCAUAAGAUUGGCCCAUUAUUUAUCCAUAACUCUACUUAUGGUUUCCUCUUAGUUGCUUUGCAACACUGAGUCCUAUAUUCUUACACUUUUGUAACUUCAUGCAGCAUCUGGGAACCUCUGAAUCAUGGUGCCAGUUUGGAGGAUGAAAGCAGUUAGAACAGAUCCUAGGGUGAGUCAAGUCUAAUAGCACUCAUCUAAGCAAAUGCUUCACAGAUCAGGGCCCAGCAGGGAGCAAACGGAAAAUUCCUAGUAACAAUUAUUUGGAAAAGAGUACUUUACAAAAUUCAAAUUUUUCAGUGUUUUAAUCAUGAAUUUGAUGGAUUAGGCAUGAUGACUGUGUCUGCAAAGUCAUAUAAGAUGAAGUAUGGCUGAAUAGUAGAGCUAAAACCAAGGAAAAUGUCAUUAAGUCCUUCCAAAUGUCAUUAAGAAAGUUUUUUGGAUCAAAUCAGAUGGAUUAAAUGUUUCCUUCCUGCAUCUGGAGCUAAAAGUGCAAAAUACAGCUUAUCAGUGUCUCUUUGAGUUAUCAUGUAAUUCUACAAACACAUUACUUUACCCGUGUAACCCAUCAUAGGGCAUUCACAAUAACAUUAGGACUUCAUAGUGGCUACACAUUUGGCCUGUUAAACCGAUGAGAUAUUUUUAGCUUUUGGCAGAUGUCACCGUGACUGUGUUUAAGAAUCACUUUGUCCUUUUACAUUUCAAACCAUUUUAAAGGUUAAGGAGAGAAAAAUCUAUUUUUGAACCAAGGUUCAGAAAAUGUUUUAAAAGAUUGUCUUGAGGUUUUGCAGCUAAGUUGUACAAAUCUGUUGUGAUCCCUAUUCCAAAAGGAAAUUUAUUCAAUAUUUACUAGUAAUUAAAGAGAGAGAACAUUUUAGAAUGCCACAGGAAUAAAAAACAGGGGAGAGAGAGCAUCAUGUCCAAGGUAAGUAUAUCAAAAUUAGAAAUUAAAAGUCAAAGUUUGUAGGUAAUUGGUAGAGAACAAGGACUAAGUAGUCUUUUAUCUACUUUUAAAAUUCUAACCUUUUUUCUCUCUCCCUCUCUCUCUCUUUUAAAUCACAGUUCUAUUAUGUACUAUAAAACUGUGGAAAAUACUUAAAUGUUUAGGAGAGCUGACUCAACCUUAUCCCGUAUUCGCCUGUAGAUAGCCACUAAAAUUGUUGGUCAAAAUUCUAGGGACUACCUAACUUGUUUUUAACAUGAUAUGCAAAAUUAGGCCUAGCCAGUGUCUUGGAUUUAGAUCCCAUCAAUGUAAUAUAUUCCCAGGGGUACCAGUUGUUUUCAUCAGAAUUAUUCAAAACUUUAUGGAAUUUAGUUGAAGUUGGUCUGUGGUACAGUUUGGGAGAUUUUGACAUUUGCUGUCAGAGAUUUAAGGUGUCACUAUAACAGGGACAUGAGGAGUUGGCAUCACAGACAGAAAUAGGCAGUAGUUUUUAAGCGUUUAUGUCAAAAGAAUACAGGCUAAUAACAUUGAAAAAUAAUGGGCAUAAGAAGAGGAUUAGGAGAAAGGAGCGCAUAGUGUAAGUAGAUAAGGAAACCAUGGAAAAAUGACGAAGGACAGAGGGAGUCUUUCCAUGGAUGGCACAGGACAGAAGUCUCAGAGGAAGGCAAAAUGAGACAGUGUGGGCUUUAUGGGGAAAAAAAAAUAGCUAAGAUUGGUAUAAUUUUAAAACUAUACAUUGAAUUAAUGAAAAAAUUAGAGAACUGCUUAUAAUUACAGAAAAUUGAAAAAGUGACCCCUUUUUGUUUGCAAAUGAAUACAGUAUGGUGUAUUUCUCCCAGGAGGCAAGGGGGCUUUUUAAAAAGUUUAAAGUGCUGUAUUUGAACCCAUCUGAUAUACAGAAUACAGAUGGGCUCUUCAGCAGUCAUUUAAAACUUUUCAAUUGUGGAAAGAA
Molecule: long non-coding RNA, 5240 nt
Filed under: Sus scrofa (pig)
Lineage: Eukaryota; Metazoa; Chordata; Mammalia; Artiodactyla; Suidae
Description: lncRNA (ENSSSCG00055017187.1)
Source: RNAcentral